AUACGGAGGGUCCGAGCGUUAAUCGGAAUUACUGGGCGUAAAGCGCUCGUAGGCGGCCUGUUAAGUCGGAUGUGAAAGCCCCGGGCUCAACCUGGGAACUGCAUUCGAAACUGGCAGGCUAGAGUAUAGUAGAGGCAAGUGGAAUUCCGGGUGUAGCGGUGAAAUGCGUAGAUAUCCGGAGGAACAUCAGUGGCGAAGGCGACUUGCUGGACUAAUACUGACGCUGUGGAGCGAAAGCGUGGGGAGCAAACGGGAUUAGAAACCCCAGUAGUCC
This 274-nucleotide ribosomal RNA is filed under the name uncultured bacterium. RNAcentral's name for it is "partial 16S ribosomal RNA". It matches the Rfam family "Bacterial small subunit ribosomal RNA", at positions 523 to 796 of the family's 1533-position model. The record is from RNAcentral.